RNAcentral lists this transfer RNA (70 nucleotides) under Sclomina guangxiensis. RNAcentral's name for it is "tRNA-Ser". Lineage: Eukaryota; Metazoa; Arthropoda; Insecta; Hemiptera; Reduviidae. The record is from RNAcentral.
AAGGGGGAAGGUGUCCCUAAAAGAAGCUGCUAACUAUCUUUUAAAGCGGUUAAAUUCCGUUUUCCCCCUU